Transfer RNA from Ovis aries (sheep), 72 nucleotides. It matches the Rfam family "tRNA". From Rfam's summary of the family: Transfer RNA (tRNA) molecules are approximately 80 nucleotides in length. The record is from Rfam. Lineage: Eukaryota; Metazoa; Chordata; Mammalia; Artiodactyla; Bovidae.
UCCCUGGUGGCUCAGAGGUUAAAGCAUCUGCCUGGAAUGUGGGAGACCCAGGUCCGACCCCUGGGUUGGGAA